GAGCAGCAGAAGUGGAAGGAGCUGCUGGUCGUCUGGAGGAGGCAGGUAGGAGCUUGCCUCCCCCCACUGCCCCGUUCUCAGUCUGGACGUUGAAUGACAUUAUUUGUGCAAGGGUUCCUUGAGUUCAGUCAUCAUUUUGCCUGGAGCAGCACAGCCAGUGCCCAAGUGAAAUUGUAAAGCACCCACAGACUACAUAGUGGAAUUGGGAUCAGUCACAUAGCAGUCCUUGUGCCCACAAUCUAGAUGUGUGAGAUGCUUCAGACUUCACCCAUUUACCCCACUAUCAAGAAUGGAAUCAUGUGGGCUGGGCCUUCCUGUGCUCAUUGCAGGAGUGUUCUGG
Hemicordylus capensis (graceful crag lizard) is the source of this 340-nucleotide long non-coding RNA. RefSeq lists it as uncharacterized. The transcript is spliced from 3 exons. The record is from RefSeq and is a predicted model, not a curated record. NCBI's taxonomy places the organism in Eukaryota, Metazoa, Chordata, Lepidosauria, Squamata, Cordylidae.